GACCGGGGCUCUCCGUCCGCUGACUCUGCGAGCCGAGCGCUCCUCGUGGGGGCUCCUGUGCACCGAGGAUGCUCCGGGGUAUCCCUGACCUCCUGUCGCCGCUGGAUCCCGGCCCGCCCCGCUCCCCAGUGAUGGCAGCCGCAGCCGUCUCCAAAUAGCCCCCGGGAGCCAGGUCGCCCGCGCUGAGAACCGCGGCCCGAGAACGAGACGAGCUCGGCGCCCGUUUCCGCGUCAGGGGCCGGCGUCCUGUUUGCCUUCAGCCCUCAACUCGAGUGCUGACUCCUUGUGAGCGUUUCUUCACCAGCCCGUCUGGAGGGGAUCCUCGCCCAUCCCGCUGUUCUGUUUCGGUUUCUCCACAGUGUCCGCCACGUUUUUUUGUUUGUUUGUUCCUUUGUCCCCACCACGUCCGUGGUCCCCACAGUUAUGAGCUCCAUGAUCUCACGGAGCUGGUUGUGUGUUUCGGUCCUCACCACGCCCCCUCCCUGCACCUGCACCGGUGCGUGGCACGUGGUGGCGUGGAAGAGUGCCCCCCAGAAACGGCGUGGCUUCGGAAGUUUGGGACCCGGGGCUGCUUCCCGAUCCUUAACUGCAGCCAAAACGCGGAGGAAGCAGUUACCUAGGAAGUGGGAUUGCCGGGACUCCUGUGAUGUUCUACAGCGGAUAAUCCGUAUCCACAUUUCACCAGGGGAAAAAACAGAGCCCUUCAGGUUUCCUGUCCAGGACCUCACAUCUAGUAAGCUUUGGAAAUCAGACCUGAGUAAAAGGCUCAUAACUGAUUCCUAGUCCAGAGCUUGCCCCGCACUCCAGCUGUCAAAAACCUACGAGUGUUUGUCGUACCUAAGAGUAUUUGUCGUAAGACUGAUGAGAUGAUACACUCAGGCAAAGGGCGGAAUAACAUUAGCAUUAACCAUGGAAUGAAAAUAAAGCCAUUGAAUGCCUUGUUACCAUA
Long non-coding RNA from Vicugna pacos (alpaca), 949 nucleotides. RefSeq lists it as uncharacterized. The record is from RefSeq and is a predicted model, not a curated record. NCBI's taxonomy places the organism in Eukaryota, Metazoa, Chordata, Mammalia, Artiodactyla, Camelidae.